RNAcentral lists this small RNA (399 nucleotides) under Vigna angularis var. angularis. Its description in RNAcentral is "Non-protein coding transcript". The record is from RNAcentral. Lineage: Eukaryota; Viridiplantae; Streptophyta; Magnoliopsida; Fabales; Fabaceae.
GAAAACUUUUCUAAAAUUUUACGUAACCUUUUCAUUUUUACCCACAACGCAGCUCGUCCUCGUUCUUCCUCAUGUUAACAUCUUUCUUAGGUUAUCAUCGUCCUCAGGUCAUCAUCGUCUGUGAUUUCAAUCGUCAGUUCAUUUGUGGUUUGUGGUUUCCGUAACCGGUUGUCGGUUGUGGUCGCUAUUGCGCUCGUCAUUGCAUCCUCGUUGUGGUGGUUGUUGAGUCCUUUGUUCCGGACAUCAUAGCGUCCUCAGUUGCGAUCGUCGUUGAGUUUUCCAUUGCGGUCACCUCGUCAUCCCAUUGCAUCGUCUCCUACCCUAACAUUUUUCAGGGCCUCCAAGGUGUACUGCUUAUGGGUAUACGACAAAUCAUCAAGAGACAAUAUCAUACAAAGG